UGGGGAAUAUUGCACAAUGGGCGCAAGCCUGAUGCAGCCAUGCCGCGUGUGUGAAGAAGGCCUUCGGGUUGUAAAGCACUUUCAGCGAGGAGGAAGGGUAGUGUGUUAAUAGCACAUUGCAUUGACGUUACUCGCAGAAGAAGCACCGGCUAACUCCGUGCCAGCAGCCGCGGUAAUACGGAGGGUGCAAGCGUUAAUCUGAAUUACUGGGCGUAAAGCGCACGCAGGCGGUUUGUUAAGUCAGAUGUGAAAUCCCCGCGCUUAACGUGGGAACUGCAUUUGAAACUGGCAAGCUAGAGUCUUGUAGAGGGGGGUAGAAUUCCAGGUGUAGCGGUGAAAUGCGUAGAGAUCUGGAGGAAUACCGGUGGCGAAGGCGGCCCCCUGGACAAAGACUGACGCUCAGGUGCGAAAGCGUGGGGAGCAAACA
Molecule: ribosomal RNA, 427 nt
Filed under: uncultured bacterium
Lineage: Bacteria
Description: partial 16S ribosomal RNA
Rfam family: Bacterial small subunit ribosomal RNA
Source: RNAcentral